ACUCCUGAGAAUGCGCUGAAUCUUAGUUAAUGAAAGAAUCAUGAAGAUUUUUCACUACUCAUCGUUUACACUGAAUAUAGGAUUGUACCAACAACACGUCAGGAAAAGUCUGUUCUGCAGAGUGUCCACCACCUGCCUGCGGAGUUCUCAGAUCCCUUCAGCGGACACUGAACUCAUCCCUUUGCGUCCCAUUCUCGCACUUCCUCCUCAGCCGCGGACUCUCUCACAGGAUAUUCUCAGUUUUAGCCGCUCUCCACACCAGGCCAGCCUGAACUACAUGAGACUGUGGAGACCAAAGAGGAGCACCCGCCUCUCCGCUUUCCUCAGGGAUGGAGGCCGCCGCCCACCUGCCCCCUCGGACUGGGUCAACUCAGCUCGGCCUCCAGUCUGGCAUCCAGCUGCCACUGUCCUUCACAUCACACCAACGUGGGUGCAGCUCACCUUCACCUCCCUUCGGCGUGAAGAAGGGAGGAGCCACCUGGGUGUGGUUAAGACCGGGGAUAAGGUGGGUUGAUUUUUAAAAAUCUGGUUGAGCUGAGCAUGUUGGCCUGUAAUCCCAGCAUUUGGGAGGCUGAAGCAGGAAGCUUGCCAUGAGUUUAAGACCACCCUGGGCUACAUUUUGAGUCCAAGCCCAGCCAUAUACUCAGACCUUGUCUCAAACAGCAACAGAAAGAAAGAAAAAGAAAGAAAGAAAGAAAGUCUAGUUGAUCUGUAUAUAUUUGAAUUAGUUAUUAAAGUCCCCAAGUAUGAUUGUGCAGUAAAUUUUCAAUUUAUGAAUAUCCAUGUUGCAGACUUUCACAGAUACGAAUAGACCGUGUAUUGUGAACAUGUGUAGAUGUGAACAAACCCUAGAAGUGGCUCACAUGCCUGGCAGACACUGUCAGAGCUGUGCUGCUGUGUGCUUGCUGUACAGUGUGGUACUGGCUUGUUGGUCAUGAGUUUCUUCCGUUUAUCCUUUUUACAAAUGGUCUUUACGUCUGCCUUCAUUUUUUAAGGAUAGCCUCGCAGGAUAUAGUAAUCUCGGUUGGCUGUUAUUUUCUUUGAGGACUUGUAAAUACUUCGUUUUAAAGUCUCUUGGUCUUUAAGGUUUCUGUUGAGAAAUCCGCUAUUUUCCUGGUUAUUUGGCCUUAUCAGUGAUUGGUACCUUGCUCUGAUAGCUUCCUUUGUUCUCACUGUCUGGCAUUUUGACUACGAUGUAUCUUGGAGAGAUUCUUUUCUGGUCAUGUGCGUUUGAG
This 1235-nucleotide long non-coding RNA is filed under the name Chinchilla lanigera (long-tailed chinchilla). RNAcentral's name for it is "lncRNA (ENSCLAG00000025593.1)". The record is from RNAcentral. Lineage: Eukaryota; Metazoa; Chordata; Mammalia; Rodentia; Chinchillidae.